UACAGAGGGGGCCAGCGUUAUUCGGAAUUACUGGGCGUAAAGGGCGCGUAGGCGGCCUGUUAAGUCGAACGUGAAAUCCCUGGGCUCAACCCAGGAACUGCGUCCGAUACUGGCAGGCUUGAAUUCGGGAGAGGGAUGCGGAAUUCCAGGUGUAGCGGUGAAAUGCGUAGAUAUCUGGAGGAACACCGGUGGCGAAGGCGGCAUCCUGGACCGGUAUUGACGCUGAGGCGCGAAAGCUAGGGGAGCAAACGGG
Molecule: ribosomal RNA, 253 nt
Filed under: uncultured bacterium
Lineage: Bacteria
Description: partial 16S ribosomal RNA
Rfam family: Bacterial small subunit ribosomal RNA
Source: RNAcentral